AAGGUGGGGACGACGUCAAGUCAUCAUGGCCCUUACGACCAGGGCUACACACGUGCUACAAUGGAGCGUACAAAGGGUUGCAACCCCGCGAGGGUGAGCUAAUCCCAUAAAACGUUUCGUAGUCCGGAUCGCAGUCUGCAACUCGACUGCGUGAAGUCGGAAUCGCUAGUAAUCGUAGAUCAGAAUGCUACGGUGAAUACGUUCCCGGGCCUUGUACACACCGCCCG
RNAcentral lists this ribosomal RNA (227 nucleotides) under Pteridomonas danica. Its description in RNAcentral is "partial Bacterial small subunit ribosomal RNA". It matches the Rfam family "Bacterial small subunit ribosomal RNA", at positions 1170 to 1396 of the family's 1533-position model. The record is from RNAcentral. Lineage: Eukaryota; Dictyochophyceae; Pedinellales.